Molecule: ribosomal RNA, 253 nt
Filed under: uncultured bacterium
Lineage: Bacteria
Description: partial 16S ribosomal RNA
Rfam family: Bacterial small subunit ribosomal RNA
Source: RNAcentral
UACGGAGGGUGCGAGCGUUGUCCGGAAUCACUGGGCGUAAAGGGCGCGUAGGCGGCGCGGGCAGUCAACGGUGAAAGUUCGGGGCUCAACCCUGAAUCGGCCGUCGAUACUCCCGUGCUUGAGCACUGUAGAGGCAGAUGGAAUUCCGGGUGUAGCGGUGGAAUGCGUAGAGAUCCGGAAGAACACCGGUGGCGAAGGCGGUCUGCUGGGCAGUAGCUGACACUGAGGCGCGACAGCGUGGGGAGCAAACAGG